This is a long non-coding RNA of Lolium perenne, 2087 nucleotides long. RefSeq lists it as uncharacterized. NCBI's taxonomy places the organism in Eukaryota, Viridiplantae, Streptophyta, Magnoliopsida, Poales, Poaceae. The record is from RefSeq and is a predicted model, not a curated record.
ACCCACGCGCGCGGGCGGUUGACCCCUACCUCCGGGCGGAUACACCUAGCCCACAUAGCUCCCCGUCCUUCCGCGUCGGCAAGAUACACGGCGACGACGUGGUCCUCGCUGUCCUUGCUCUCUGCCGCGAGUACGGCGGCGACAUGGACCUGCCCGGGACCCCCCGCCCCCCACCACCACACCGGAUCUUUCCUCUCGCACUCCUCCUAUUUUCCCUUCUCUUCUCCUUCCUGCCAAGGUGAAAUCGAAAUCCAGCCAAUCCCGGAGCUCGCCUCGUCGUCCCCGCUCCUUUCCACUCCAGGACGCCCGAUCCUCUCUUCCCAGAUCCGGUUUCAGGGGCUAUCGGAGUCGCCCUCGCCCAUGUCCGGCGCCAUGGGGUCGGAUCCGGCUAAGGCAGCUCGCUCGUGACACAGUCGACUUCUGGCUGCUGCUCACCUACAAGGUGGUGCUCUAACUAUUAGCAGAGCAGUGUCUACUUCUCUGAGCUCUUGAAACAGGCACACUAGCACUACUAACACCAGUUAUAUAUGCUAAAAGUUCAACGCCAAUGGCGCGGCGGCCUGUGCUUCCUAGUUGUUUCUUUCAAGUCUGUGCUCGAUUUUAUCUCAUGAAGUACAUUGUUGCUUAUAAACCCAGAUAUCACAAUUUUAGGUGUUUUUGUUUUUUCGUCUUAUCGAGUUUUCCUUUUCGGCUUUCCAGAAGGAGGUCACUUUCAUGGAGCACAAUUCAUUGUUUUCCUUUUGUUGCUUAUAAAGUAAUACGAAGCCUUGUGCAAUUUAUUUGUGAUUUACAGAGCUGCAUUGUUUUAUCCAAGAGCAUCUGAAAUCUACCAUGCGUGCUAUUUGAACACAGCGAUGUAAAUACCUACCAGAAUUGUUUUCCCAUACAUCAUUCCUAGUGACAACAUGUUAACCAUUCUCAAUACAUUCAAGUGUGCUCAGUGACACAAGUGCAUGUUUCUAAAAUUGCUCUCUAAAUGGUGAGUUUUCAUUUAUUGAUCUGUAAUUUUAUGAAUGUUCUGAAAUGUCAUCACUAUUCUCCUCGCAAUUGUUGUAGUUCUGGUUUGAUUCUGUCCAUGCCCAAGUAUAUUUGGAAGUUCUUCCUACGGAGUACCUGUGAUUUUCUGCUUGAUGCAGAUCAUGGGAACUGAUCUUUUAGGGAGCACACAAAUACCACGCAGGUACUUCUCCUUGUUACCCAUUGUCUGUAGUUUCUGCCAAAGUUUCGAAGUAUAUCUAUCACAUAACUGAAAUUAUUUGCAAGGUAUUAAACUAGAACUGUUGAUUUGGACUUUUCAUUCAUUGUGAGGCUAAGUCUACUUACAUUCCAAUACUGUCGGAAGCAAUAAAGGCCACUUGAGAUGAUUUUUUCUAGUUUAGAUGUUGAGACUUGGAUAAACUGCUAGGCACCUGUCGUAUGUGAAUAUGUGAUAUUCCAGACUCUAUAGUGAACUGUAGGGAAGGAUGUGUGAUGUUGUACCUAGUAUCAUGUUCCUGUUUUAGUUGUCUCAAUCUUCUCGGCUACGUCACUUUUGUUUUGUAACUAAAGCUUGUGGUUGUUAGAGGAAGUAUUGUUUAUCAUUGUAUCUACAUUUCUACUAGUUUAUCAGGAAGUGUCCUCUUUUUUUUUUUUUUUGUUGUUGUUUUGUUUUGUUGCAAUUUUACUAGAUGUGAAAGGUACCAGCUACAACUUACAAUGAGGGCGUUUAUCUUUUCAUGCAUUAUUGGAGAGCCGCCAACCUCGUGGUGAAGAAAAAAUGCAUGCCUGCAUCUGCAAGAGGACAUCGAUGGGAGAUCCUGUCUGUACCAGAAUAUUGUUGUAUGACUUGCCGAGAUAGUCAAAGGAUGUUGUUUUGAUUUUUGAAGGCUUGUAGCCUGUCCCAAAAGCAGAAGGAUGAAUUGUUUUGUUUUGUUUGGCUAUGUAGUGAUUAGUCUAACCCUCUAGAUAGAAAGGGAGUUUAAACUAAAUUUAGUAUUCUUCCGGUUCUAAGGGAUGGCUCUGAAUCUAAACUUGUAUUACUGCGUUAUGAUAACUUAUGUUUGUGAACCGAACCUUAGGAUGGGGUUGUUGUCUCCAUUUAUGUGCUA